GGGGGAAAUAAGGGAAGACACUAAUGCAGUCGACGCUUCUUUUUCCACCGGAGCUUGCUCCACCGGAAAAAGAGGAGUGGCGAACGGGUGAGUAACACGUGGGUAACCUGCCCAUCAGAAGGGGAUAACACUUGGAAACAGGUGCUAAUACCGUAUAACAAUCAAAACCGCAUGGUUUUGAUUUGAAAGGCGCUUUCGGGUGUCGCUGAUGGAUGGACCCGCGGUGCAUUAGCUAGUUGGUGAGGUAACGGCUCACCAAGGCCACGAUGCAUAGCCGACCUGAGAGGGUGAUCGGCCACAUUGGGACUGAGACACGGCCCAAACUCCUACGGGAGGCAGCAGUAGGGAAUCUUCGGCAAUGGACGAAAGUCUGACCGAGCAACGCCGCGUGAGUGAAGAAGGUUUUCGGAUCGUAAAACUCUGUUGUUAGAGAAGAACAAGGAUGAGAGUAACUGUUCAUCCCUUGACGGUAUCUAACCAGAAAGCCACGGCUAACUACGUGCCAGCAGCCGCGGUAAUACGUAGGUGGCAAGCGUUGUCCGGAUUUAUUGGGCGUAAAGCGAGCGCAGGCGGUUUCUUAAGUCUGAUGUGAAAGCCCCCGGCUCAACCGGGGAGGGUCAUUGGAAACUGGGAGACUUGAGUGCAGAAGAGGAGAGUGGAAUUCCAUGUGUAGCGGUGAAAUGCGUAGAUAUAUGGAGGAACACCAGUGGCGAAGGCGGCUCUCUGGUCUGUAACUGACGCUGAGGCUCGAAAGCGUGGGGAGCAAACAGGAUUAGAUACCCUGGUAGUCCACGCCGUAAACGAUGAGUGCUAAGUGUUGGAGGGUUUCCGCCCUUCAGUGCUGCAGCUAACGCAUUAAGCACUCCGCCUGGGGAGUACGACCGCAAGGUUGAAACUCAAAGGAAUUGACGGGGGGCCCGCACAAGCGGUGGAGCAUGUGGUUUAAUUCGAAGCAACGCG
RNAcentral lists this ribosomal RNA (960 nucleotides) under Enterococcus faecium. RNAcentral's name for it is "bacterial SSU rRNA". It matches the Rfam family "Bacterial small subunit ribosomal RNA", at positions 64 to 963 of the family's 1533-position model. Lineage: Bacteria; Bacillati; Bacillota; Bacilli; Lactobacillales; Enterococcaceae. The record is from RNAcentral.